GUACUGCUGAAGAGUCCCAAACUAGGACGAAACAGCUGUGCAGUAC
Non-coding RNA from Trichobilharzia regenti, 46 nucleotides. The record is from Rfam. NCBI's taxonomy places the organism in Eukaryota, Metazoa, Platyhelminthes, Trematoda, Strigeidida, Schistosomatidae.